CCUACGGGCGGCAGCAGUGAGGAAUAUUGGUCAAUGGGCGCUAGCCUGAACCAGCCAAGUCGCGUGAAGGAUGACUGCCCUAUGGGUUGUAAACUUCUUUUAUAUGGGAAUAAAGUGCAGUAUGUAUACUGCUUUGCAUGUACCUUAUGUAUAAGGAUCGGCUAACUCCGUUCCAGCAGCCGCGGUAAUACGGAGGAUCCGAGCGUUAUCCGGAUUUAUUGGGUUUAACGGGUGCGUAGGCGGCCUGCUAAGUCAGCGGUUAAAGUCUGUGGCUCAACCAUAGAAUUGCCGUUGAAACUGGGAGGCUUGAGUAUGUUAGAGGAACGCGGAAUGCGUGGUGUAGCGGUGAAAUGCGUAGAUAUAACGCAGAACACCGAUUGCGAAGGCAGCCUGCCAGGCCAUGACUGACGCUGAGGCACGAAAGCGUGGGGAUCAAACAGGAUUAGAUACCCCAGUAGUC
RNAcentral lists this ribosomal RNA (460 nucleotides) under uncultured bacterium. RNAcentral describes it as "partial 16S ribosomal RNA". It matches the Rfam family "Bacterial small subunit ribosomal RNA", at positions 338 to 795 of the family's 1533-position model. The record is from RNAcentral.